UUUUUUUUUGGCUAUCAGGAUUUAAACUUGCGAUGUUUAUUCUUAAGGAUCAAAGGUUUUGUAACCUGAUAAAGUGCAGCGACGGAUCGGAACUUCCUUUUCUUAGGAGGAGAAGCUUCGUCGAAAAUCUCUUCCAUAUUCACGGCUGCUGACGAUGAUACGUCCGCCGUAUCGCCGACGCUUUCUUCUUCUCCGUGCUCCCUUUCUACGAUCACUACUCUUGAACUGUCGCCGGCGUUAUGGUAAAUUUCACGGCUGCUAUCGGAAUCUCCGCUAAGCUGAAUAAGCUGCAACGCCGCGUUCAUCUCCGGCUCCGUCAGUUUUUCUGGUUCUGUUUGAAUUCCUCUAUUUUUCACCGUUGAUUUCUUCAUUUUAUGG
Molecule: unclassified non-coding RNA, 378 nt
Filed under: Hevea brasiliensis (rubber tree)
Lineage: Eukaryota; Viridiplantae; Streptophyta; Magnoliopsida; Malpighiales; Euphorbiaceae
Source: RNAcentral